This 253-nucleotide ribosomal RNA is filed under the name uncultured bacterium. Its description in RNAcentral is "partial 16S ribosomal RNA". It matches the Rfam family "Bacterial small subunit ribosomal RNA", at positions 524 to 776 of the family's 1533-position model. The record is from RNAcentral.
UACGUAGGGUCCGAGCGUUGUCCGGAAUUACUGGGCGUAAAGAGCUCGUAGGUGGUUUGUCACGUUGUUCGUGAAAACCCACAGCUCAACUGUGGGCGUGCGAGCGAUACGGGCAGACUAGAGUACUGCAGGGGAGACUGGAAUUCCUGGUGUAGCGGUGGAAUGCGCAGAUAUCAGGAGGAACACCGGUGGCGAAGGCGGGUCUCUGGGCAGUAACUGACGCUGAGGAGCGAAAGCGUGGGGAGCGAACAGG